Molecule: ribosomal RNA, 462 nt
Filed under: uncultured bacterium
Lineage: Bacteria
Description: bacterial SSU rRNA
Rfam family: Bacterial small subunit ribosomal RNA
Source: RNAcentral
UAAGGAAUAUUGCGCAAUGGGCGACAGCCUGACGCAGCGACGCCGCGUGGGGGAUGAAGGUCUUCGGAUUGUAAACCCCUUUCGGCAGGGAAGAUGGAACGGGUAACCGUUCGGACGGUACCUGCAGAAGCAGCCACGGCUAACUUCGUGCCAGCAGCCGCGGUAAUACGAAGGUGGCAAGCGUUGUUCGGAUUUACUGGGCGUACAGGGAGCGUAGGCGGUUGGGUAAGCCCUCCGUGAAAUCUCCGGGCCUAACCCGGAAAGUGCGGAGGGGACUGCUCGGCUAGAGGAUGGGAGAGGAGCGCGGAAUUCCCGGUGUAGCGGUGAAAUGCGUAGAGAUCGGGAGGAAGGCCGGUGGCGAAGGCGGCGCUCUGGAACAUUUCUGACGCUGAGGCUCGAAAGCGUGGGGAGCAAACAGGAUUAGAUACCCACGUAGUCCCUGAGCGGGCUGGCAAGGCGCAU